GUGCCAGCAGCCGCGGUAAUACGUAGGUGGCAAGCGUUGUCCGGAAUUAUUGGGCGUAAAGCGCGCGCAGGCGGUUCUUUAAGUCUGAUGUGAAAGCCCACGGCUCAACCGUGGAGGGUCAUUGGAAACUGGAGAACUUGAGUACAGAAGAGGAAAGCGGAAUUCCACGUGUAGCGGUGAAAUGCGUAGAGAUGUGGAGGAACACCAGUGGCGAAGGCGGCUUUCUGGUCUGUAACUGACGCUGAGGCGCGAAAGCGUGGGGAGCAAACAGGAUUAGAUACCCUGGUAGUCC
RNAcentral lists this ribosomal RNA (292 nucleotides) under uncultured microorganism. RNAcentral's name for it is "partial 16S ribosomal RNA". It matches the Rfam family "Bacterial small subunit ribosomal RNA", at positions 505 to 796 of the family's 1533-position model. The record is from RNAcentral.